This 255-nucleotide ribosomal RNA is filed under the name uncultured bacterium. Its description in RNAcentral is "partial 16S ribosomal RNA". It matches the Rfam family "Bacterial small subunit ribosomal RNA", at positions 524 to 776 of the family's 1533-position model. The record is from RNAcentral.
UACGGAGGAUCCAAGCGUUAUCCGGAUUUAUUGGGUUUAAAGGGUGCGUAGGCGGCCUAUUAAGUCAGGGGUGAAAGACGGUAGCUUAACUAUCGCAGUGCCUUUGAUACUGAUAGGCUUGAAUGUACUUGAGGUAGGCGGAAUGUGACAAGUAGCGGUGAAAUGCAUAGAUAUGUCACAGAACACCAAUUGCGAAGGCAGCUUACUAAAGUAUGAUUGACGCUGAGGCACGAAAGCGUGGGGGAUCAAAACAGG